RNAcentral lists this ribosomal RNA (1086 nucleotides) under uncultured bacterium. Its description in RNAcentral is "bacterial SSU rRNA". It matches the Rfam family "Bacterial small subunit ribosomal RNA", at positions 11 to 1090 of the family's 1533-position model. The record is from RNAcentral.
GUUUGAUCCUGGCUCAGAGCGAACGCUGGCGGCGUGCUUAACACAUGCAAGUCGAACGUGUAACUCCUUGUAGCAAUACAGGGGGCGGGCGCGUGGCGAACGGGUGCGUAACACGUGGGUAACCUUCCCUCAAGUGGGGAAUAACCCGCCGAAAGGCGGGCUAAUACCGCAUAACAUCCCAAUUACUUCGGUGAAUGGGAUCAAAGCCCGCAAGGGUGCAGGAGGAGGGGCCCGCGGCCGAUUAGCUUGUUGGCGAGGUAACGGCUCACCAAGGCAAUGAUCGGUAGCCGGUCUGAGAGGAUGGCCGGCCACACUGGAACUGAGACACGGUCCAGACUCCUACGGGAGGCAGCAGUGGGGAAUCUUGCGCAAUGGGCGAAAGCCUGACGCAGCAACGCCGCGUGGGGGAUGAAGCUUCUCGGAGUGUAAACCCCUUUCGACCCGGACGAACCCCCGCAAGGGAUUGACGGUACGGGUAUAAGAAGCCCCGGCUAACUACGUGCCAGCAGCCGCGGUAAAACGUAGGGGGCCAGCGUUGCUCGGAAUUACUGGGCGUAAAGGGUCCGUAGGCGGUGCGGCAAGUCGGAAGUGAAAUCUCAGGGCUUAACCCUGAGGCUGCUUCCGAAACUGCCGUGCUCGAGUGCGAGAGAGGCGAGUGGAAUUGCAGGUGUAGCGGUGAAAUGCGUAGAUAUCUGCAGGAACAUCCGAGGCGAAAGCGGCUCGCUGGAUCGCAACUGACGCUGAGGGACGAAAGCUAGGGGAGCAAACAGGAUUAGAUACCCUGGUAGUCCUAGCCCUAAACGAUCAGGACUGGGCGUGGGCCUCGUACGGGGCUCGUGCCGCAGCUAACGCGUUAAGUCCUGCGCCUGGGGAGUACGGUCGCAAGGCUGAACUCAAAGGGAAUUGACGGGGGCCCGCACAAGCGGUGGAACAUGUGGUUCAAUUCGACGCAACGCGAGGACCUUACCUGGGCUUGGAGUUGCGCCUGACCUCCCGAGAAAUCGGGACUUCUCGCAAGGGACAGGCGUAAAGUGCUGCAUGGCUGUCCUCAGCUUCCUGCCCGUGAGGGGUUGGGGUUAAUUUCGG